This 459-nucleotide ribosomal RNA is filed under the name uncultured bacterium. RNAcentral's name for it is "partial 16S ribosomal RNA". It matches the Rfam family "Bacterial small subunit ribosomal RNA", at positions 338 to 795 of the family's 1533-position model. The record is from RNAcentral.
CCUACGGGAGGCUGCAGUGAGGAAUAUUGGUCAAUGGCCGAGAGGCUGAACCAGCCAAGUCGCGUGAGGGAAGACGGCCCUACGGGUUGCAAACCUCUUUUGUCGGGGAGCAAAGCGAGUCACGUGUGACUCAUUGAGAGUACCCGAAGAAAAAGCAUCGGCUAACUCCGUGCCAGCAGCCGCGGUAAUACGGAGGAUGCGAGCGUUAUCCGGAUUUAUUGGGUUUAAAGGGUGCGCAGGCGGAGGUGCAAGUCAGCGGUAAAAUUGCGGGGCUCAACCCCGUACUGCCGUUGAAACUGCAUCCCUUGAGUGCGGGAGAGGUAUGCGGAAUGCGUGGUGUAGCGGUGAAAUGCGUAGAUAUCAGGCAGAACACCGAUUGCGAAGGCAGCAUACCGGCGCGCAACUGACGCUCAGGCACGAAAGCGUGGGGAUCGAACAGGAUUAGAUACCCCAGUAGUC